RNAcentral lists this non-coding RNA (68 nucleotides) under Clostridium neonatale. RNAcentral describes it as "GP20-b". It matches the Rfam family "GP20-b RNA". Lineage: Bacteria; Bacillati; Bacillota; Clostridia; Eubacteriales; Clostridiaceae. The record is from RNAcentral.
UGCCCUAAGCAUGGCGUAAAAAGGCAAAAACAUUUUAAUAUAUGUGAAGCUACCACGUAAAAAGCGUA